This 584-nucleotide ribosomal RNA is filed under the name Alternaria alternata. RNAcentral describes it as "eukaryotic LSU rRNA". The stretch from base 203 to 356 matches the Rfam family "5.8S ribosomal RNA". The record is from RNAcentral. Lineage: Eukaryota; Fungi; Ascomycota; Dothideomycetes; Pleosporales; Pleosporaceae.
ACAUUUUCCGUAAGGGUGACCUGCGGAGGGAUCAUUACACAAAUAUGAAGGCGGGCUGGAACCUCUCGGGGUUACAGCCUUGCUGAAUUAUUCACCCUUGUCUUUUGCGUACUUCUUGUUUCCUUGGUGGGUUCGCCCACCACUAGGACAAACAUAAACCUUUUGUAAUUGCAAUCAGCGUCAGUAACAAAUUAAUAAUUACAACUUUCAACAACGGAUCUCUUGGUUCUGGCAUCGAUGAAGAACGCAGCGAAAUGCGAUAAGUAGUGUGAAUUGCAGAAUUCAGUGAAUCAUCGAAUCUUUGAACGCACAUUGCGCCCUUUGGUAUUCCAAAGGGCAUGCCUGUUCGAGCGUCAUUUGUACCCUCAAGCUUUGCUUGGUGUUGGGCGUCUUGUCUCUAGCUUUGCUGGAGACUCGCCUUAAAGUAAUUGGCAGCCGGCCUACUGGUUUCGGAGCGCAGCACAAGUCGCACUCUCUAUCAGCAAAGGUCUAGCAUCCAUUAAGCCUUUUUUUCAACUUUUGACCUCGGAUCAGGUAGGGAUACCCGCUGAACUUAAGCAUAUCAAAAAACCGGGAAGAAAAAC